GAAAAAAGAAAAAAAACGUCCCAAUUUCCCCACACCCACGACCGCGAGCAGAAAUCCCUAACCUGUCCCGACCCAACUCGCCGCCGCCGCCGCCGCCGCCGCCGUCGCCAAGGAACCCUAGCGUGUUGAUGGCAUCGACGGAGGAGCAAGUCUUCCUUGAAUCGAGGAACCUGUCAUAUGAUGGCGCCCACCACCCCGACGCCUGCACCGACUGGGAUUACCCGGAAGACCCAGGCGACCGGCGGAACGGGGUGGAGGUUGCCGAGCUCCAUGACCAGCCGGCGCGCAUGAGCACCUCAGAUUCAGAUCCAUGUGAAGUCGCCAGGCGUGCCUUGGACCUCAUGUUCCCGCGGGAGGAGGACAGCGAUGACUGCUGGAGCACCUGGAGCGCACGGGAGAAGGGCAGUGAUGACGACGAUGAACAAGGAGGGGAAGAAGGCGAUGGUAGCACACAGGAGAGCAGCGAUUAUGAAGACGACGGCCGCAAUUGCCAAGUGAUACUAGCCGAGACAAACUGUCCAGGUAGCUGCUGAUUCUCUCAACAGAUGAAACAAAAAUACUCCUAUAUAUUUAUCUGCUGAGCUGUUCUACAUCAAUUCUUCAGGAAAGCUCUACCCCGAGAGCCAAGCAGAGGCCAUAGAACUCAGAUGGGCAGACUGGUUCUUCCAGCGGAUUGUAGAACACUCAAAGCUGUGCAAGGAGAUUAUGGCCCUGGGAGAUGAUGAUGAGACUCCUUUCCCCCCAUCUCCCAUGAAAGUGUUCCCUGAGGCAACAGCUUUAUGCAUCCUUGGGGCCAAAUCCUGCCACCACCGUGUUUACAGGACCCAUGACACUUCUACCACCCCAUCAACUCUUGGAUAUCGUGAACCAAGUCAUAUGCUACAAUUUUUCUCCAUGCGUCUAUCAAGCUUUGAAGCCUCGUAUUCCAUUAGUGUGUACGGAAUAUUCGCCAUUCGGGAUUACUUGGACCGGCGACGGAACUAUGUCUUUAACCGUCCCAGGGAUGAUGCUGUAACAAUUGAGAAGCAGGAUUCUUUUGUCGUACCACUUUGUAGCCCUUGUCGAGGAAUGUAUGUAUCGGAUAAGGCUUUAGUAGAAGUUGAUCUUUGGGUAAAGAAGGAAGGGGAUGAAUCAGAUGACAAGCAACUACUUUCUGCCUACGCUGAGAUUGAUGUCCAUGCUGAAGCUAAUGUCAUGUUUUAUUCACGAAUUUCUGGUGAUAAUUGCAAUUUGGACUUAAAAUACAAAGUCCUUUCAGAAAGUGUCGAGGCUGUAAUACAAGUAUAUGCAAAGGUGGACCAUCCUCACCAUGUGAGGUUCACUGCUUUUAGCACCGGAUAUGAUGACUAUCCUCAUCGUGGAGUUGUGCUGUUUGAUGACAAAUUAUUUGGUCACGAAAAAAUAUUCCAGCAUAUUGUUGCAGUGAAAGCAAAUGAAGAACUUCAUGUUUUUUUAGAAGUGAACGGUUCAGUGUUCCAGUGGACUUUUCAAGACGAACAUGUCGGAGCUGUUAUUUCUCCUGAUGACUCAGUCUUUGAGUAUGGCCAGUUCUUCGUGAGGGUGAUAUUUGCUCCAAAGGAUUGUCAGUGAAGCUCAGCUCCAGCAUUCUCACAGUGUAGCCAUUGGCUGAAAGCCUGAAGCUCAUGGAAAAGUGUUGUUGCUUUUCUUGGUAUUGUAUAUAAGUAGCAGCUGAAUUUGUCUUCUUAAGCCCUCUUAGGCAGACAUCAGAAGUACUAAUUUUUAUAGCCUGAAGCUCAUGAAAACUAGAGAAAAUUUCUUGACUUUUAUGUGGCCUAUCCUUGUAAUAUGACUGGUGGAAACCCAAACGUGUUCCAAG
RNAcentral lists this ribosomal RNA (1837 nucleotides) under Triticum aestivum (bread wheat). Its description in RNAcentral is "partial small subunit ribosomal RNA". The record is from RNAcentral. Lineage: Eukaryota; Viridiplantae; Streptophyta; Magnoliopsida; Poales; Poaceae.